Anthonomus grandis grandis is the source of this 673-nucleotide long non-coding RNA. RefSeq lists it as uncharacterized. The transcript is spliced from 2 exons. NCBI's taxonomy places the organism in Eukaryota, Metazoa, Arthropoda, Insecta, Coleoptera, Curculionidae. The record is from RefSeq and is a predicted model, not a curated record.
AAAAAGGAAAUAAUUUGUUGUUUGUUUUUAUUUUUUCCCGCACUUAUUUCAAUAUCUUUGACAUUUGACGUUUAGAAAACAACUCCGGACGUGGGUAAUUACUGUUCCAAAUUGAUGACGUAUAAAGGGCUAAUUGGUGACGUCACGUAUCUCAAGCGGUUAUAAUUAUAACCCCUUGGACGUGUUUGGUUAAUACCAUUUAGGAACGGUAAUUACCGAUAGACCGCUUGGAAUCGGUUUAUGUUUUCGAGAUUUCGAGUGUGACUUGGCAACAUGCAACAUUCUUAUUUACAAUGAACCACAGCGGCGUUCCCAUAAUAAAAUGUAAACAAAAAUAUAAACAUUCAUUUUUGUAAAUUUGCUAUGUAGAAUUUGUAGAAAUGGAGAAAAGAGAAUUAUAUAAAAAAAAAUCUUGUUUAGGUUGUAAAAUCGUGUCAAUAUCAUGUCUAACUGGUAUAGGUGGUUACUUAAUUCAUACUGCUAAAAUGUAUAAGGGUAAUGCUAAAAUCUUUACUGCAGCUGUAGGUUUAGGUUCUCUUUGCUUAGGUAUAGGAGAAAUAUUUGAUAAAAGUCCAUUUAGAUGAGAAAAAACACUUGGCUAGAACACAUCUUUAUUAGAAAAUCCAUAUCAAAGUUUCAAGAGUUUAUUUAUUAAUAAAACCCUUUGAUAUAA